CCUACGGGUGGCUGCAGUGAGGCAUAUUGGUCAAUGGGGGAAACCCUGAUGCAGCGACGCCGCGUGAGUGAAGAAGUAUUUCGGUAUGUAAAGCUCUAUCAGCAGGGAAGAAAAAAGACGGUACCUGACUAAGAAGCCCCGGCUAACUACGUGCCAGCAGCCGCGGUAAUACGUAGGGGGCAAGCGUUAUCCGGAUUUACUGGGUGUAAAGGGAGCGUAGACGGCAAUACAAGUCGGAAGUGAAAUACCCGGGCUCAACCUGGGAACUGCUUUGGAAACUGUAUGGCUGGAGUGCUGGAGAGGUAAGCGGAAUUCCUAGUGUAGCGGUGAAAUGCAUAGAUAUCACGCAGAACUCCGAUUGCGAAGGCAGCAUACCGGCGCUCAACUGACGCUGAGGCACGAAAGCGUGGGGAUCGAACAGGAUUAGAUACCCCUGUAGUC
RNAcentral lists this ribosomal RNA (441 nucleotides) under uncultured bacterium. RNAcentral describes it as "partial 16S ribosomal RNA". It matches the Rfam family "Bacterial small subunit ribosomal RNA", at positions 338 to 795 of the family's 1533-position model. The record is from RNAcentral.